GUUCUCUGAGGCUGGGACUCUGGGAAGAACGCAGAGGAGGUUCCACCAAGAGGAGGCGCCUUCUCAGACGGCACUCAACUCGGGUCUGCAAAUAUUUGCUCUUCCCUCUGGCACCAGCUUGGGUAUCCGGCUGGCUCUCUGGAGAGCUAAACUCAAGGACCUUUCAACAUUGGGUGGCUAAAGACUCCGUCAGACAGAAAGACACUGAGCCGGGAAAUAACGCAGUUUCUGCAGCAGAGCCUCGCUUACUGGAGCGCAGGAAGAGCACAAAAUGGACAAGAGGCUAAAGAAGGAGAUGGGGUAGAAGGAACCACAGAGCCCAUAGCACGCUGGUACCCACUGAGGGAUGAUGCAGUGAAGAUCCAGACUGUGACUAUCUACAGAGCAAAGGAGACAACCGAGGGUCCAAGAAAGAAGUAGCAUUUUCAGUGGAGACUGAGACAAACCAAAGGCCUGCAGAUCAGGAGAACAGGACCUGAUGCGGGGAGGCACAGCCCAGAAGGAGCAGAAAUAGAGAGUGCCAUUCUGACCUGUAGGAGCUGCAAACCCACUGUGCUACAGUUUCUCCCACCCUGCCACCCAAGCCAUCGGAUUCACCAUUCUGAGCUAACUCCUCGAAGACAAACCCCCAGAAAAGUCGCUACAACUGUGAAAUCGUGUUCUGAUAAACCGACUUCUGGAACUAGAAACUUGGUCAGAUUAGAUUCCGAAGACUGCUCCGAGCAUCAGUAAGGUUUGGCGACACAGGGACGUGGCGAGUGGCUGGUGGGUUCAGAGACUACGCAUCCCAUCCUUUAAAUCCAUUACACAGAAGCGACCUGCCAGUCCCAGGACUUCCUGCCUGGUGACUAUGACAGGCACAUGCUCUGUCCUAUCCUGAGUCCCCUUAAGCACAUAAGGGGCAGCCUACCCUGCCUUAGGAAAGUGACAUCAUCAAACUUCUUAGGUGCUAAGAAGACACCGAAGCAAAGAGAAGGUCCUCCUGCUGAGUGUCUUUCUAACCCCCUCGGCCAGCCCAGUUACCUCUCUGGUUAUCUCUUGUUCCCUUUUCAACCAGCAGUCUACACAGGGAAGAACUGUGUGGGAAUGGAAGCCAGGGCCUGGAGACAUUUUCUCACCGUUACUAGGGUAAGGUGUUACUGCCAUUUAACAUGUAAAGGCCAGGGAUGUGACGGGACUUUGCAUGGAAGGGGCUGGCUAGGAGUGCAACUCUGACGGUUAGAUGUACUGUGCUACAUUUCUCCUAAUCUGCUACCCACUGACACGCCACAACCCAGAACCACCUGGCCUGACAGAUCAAUAGAGCUGAGGCAGAGAGACACCUGCUUCUCAGCAGGGCUCGCUCCCUCCAGUUGCUUCUCUCUGCAGAGUGAGCUUUUCAAGGCAGCUGAUGGCGUCUCUCUGCCCUUCGGUGACUCUGAAUUCUUGCCACCCAAUGUAAAGAGCCCUCUCUCUUUAGAGGUGUGACCCUGCCUCUGAAGCCCCCACAACUUCCUUCUUUAGAACCAGUGUGUUGAUCACACGAAUGUCAUCCCUGUCCCCAGGCUUCUAGACAUGCGGCAAGCUGACCCAGCAGUCUUAAGGCCAUCUUCUCCCUGGUGUUUGGGGCUGUGUGGGAUCUCUCCAAAACUUUAUGCUGUAGGCCUGUUAGUAUCUCGUAAUGGGGCGUAUUUGUCUUCAGAGAUGUAGUACAUUAAAAUGAGGCAUUAGAGCAGA
Non-coding RNA from Rattus norvegicus (Norway rat), 1716 nucleotides. Lineage: Eukaryota; Metazoa; Chordata; Mammalia; Rodentia; Muridae. The record is from RefSeq and is a predicted model, not a curated record.